AGGCACAAAUAAAACUUUUGAGGCUGAUAAAGCCGUCGACUUUGAGAUCAAGUCCGUGACAGGCGACAAGACAGUGAGCGUUGCCUUUGCUAAACCCUUUGCAGUCGGAGUGACCGCCCUCACCACUAUCUACGAUCCGGGUGACAGUGCUGAGCGGAAUGACAACGCUGUUGAAGGCGUUGGUGAUCAUACCGAUACGAAGCUCGUCAUCAAUUCCAUUGUCCUCGACAUCGUCCUCGUCGACGAGCACGGAGUGCAGAUCGUUCUCGGUAAAGAUGAAGAAAUACUCCUGACAUUCGCGUCCAGCGAACCGGGAGGAUUCAAGGAGAGAAUUUGCCGGUAUUAUGAUGAAGACGUGUCCAAAUGGUCUCGUUUUGGCUGCUACGUUCAAACCUCCAACGCGAGUGUUGUCACCUGCGCGUGUAACCAUACCACCAGUUUCGCAGUGCUUCUACAAUUUGAGG
Molecule: long non-coding RNA, 464 nt
Organism: Strongylocentrotus purpuratus (purple sea urchin)
Lineage: Eukaryota; Metazoa; Echinodermata; Echinoidea; Camarodonta; Strongylocentrotidae
Exons: 4
Source: RefSeq, a predicted model, not a curated record